AGCCCGGUAGUGUAGCGGCCAAGCAUGUGGGGCUUUGGACCCCGCGACCUCGGUUCGAACCCGAGCCGGGCUACCA
RNAcentral lists this transfer RNA (76 nucleotides) under Candidatus Helarchaeota archaeon. Its description in RNAcentral is "tRNA-Gln". It matches the Rfam family "tRNA". From Rfam's summary of the family: Transfer RNA (tRNA) molecules are approximately 80 nucleotides in length. Their secondary structure includes four short double-helical elements and three loops (D, anti-codon, and T loops). The record is from RNAcentral. Lineage: Archaea; Promethearchaeati; Candidatus Helarchaeota.